This 71-nucleotide transfer RNA is filed under the name Scincella reevesii. Its description in RNAcentral is "tRNA-Thr". Lineage: Eukaryota; Metazoa; Chordata; Lepidosauria; Squamata; Scincidae. The record is from RNAcentral.
GCCUUAGUAGUUUAAUAUAAAACACCGGUCUUGUAAGCCAAAGACGGGGCCCCACCUUGCCCCCUAAGACA